GAUAAAGUUGCUUCCAUAAAAAUGGAAAUUUAUUUUGUUUUCUUUAAUCUUCACUUAAUUGCUUUAAUUAUUCUGGCCUACAAAUUCGUGUUACUCCUUCACCAUUUCGUUGAAAUUACUUUUCCCUAAAACUUGGUUAUUUUCUCAUACGAGAACGUAAAUAUAAUGUAACCCUUUUACUGGUCGUGUUGAUGUUCGUAACGAAUCGGUUCAAUUAACUUGUGGUCAAACCGCAAUGAAUGAAUGAUGAAUUAUUAAAAACGCAGGUUAACGUAUAUGCAGAUGCAAUGAUUUUGUUCAUCAUUUACGACCACAAACUGUGUCAAUUAUCAGUUGCUACUAAUUUAUUAAAGCUUGUGAAACUGGAUAUUGUUACCAUACAGGUCGGCAGAUAUGGUCCUGGUUCAUCGAUUUUCCAUUGGUUUCGUGGCUCUUCCUGCAGCAUUGAGUUGAUCUGCAGAUUUAAUUAAUUGCGGUUGGCACUUUUGUUCUUCGCUUAUUUGUUUUAUAAAUUUGUAUGUUAAUGUGAUUGAAAAUGUACAGAAUAUUUUUUAC
This is a long non-coding RNA of Drosophila ficusphila, 555 nucleotides long. RefSeq lists it as uncharacterized. The transcript has 2 exons. Lineage: Eukaryota; Metazoa; Arthropoda; Insecta; Diptera; Drosophilidae. The record is from RefSeq and is a predicted model, not a curated record.